AUUGAACGCUGGCGGCAUGCCUUACACAUGCAAGUCGAACGGUAACAGGUCUUCGGAUGCUGACGAGUGGCGAACGGGUGAGUAAUACAUCGGAACGUGCCCGAUCCUGGGGGAUAACGAGGCGAAAGCUUUGCUAAUACCGCAUACGAUCUACGGAUGAACGCGAGGGAUCUUCGUGCCUCGCGCGGACGGAUCGGCCGAUGGCAGAUUAGGUAGUUGGUGGGAUAAAAGCUUACCAAGCCGACGAUCUGUAGCUGGUCUGAGAGGAUGAUCAGCCACACUGGGACUGGGACACGGCCCAGACUCCUACGGGAGGCAGCAGUGGGGAAUUUUGGACAAUGGGCGAAAGCCUGAUCCAGCCAUGCCGCGUGCAGGAUGAAGGCCUUCGGGUUGUAAACUGCUUUUGUACGGAACGAAAAGCCUCUUUCUAAUAAAGAGGGGUCAUGACGGUACCGUAAGAAUAAGCACCGGCUAACUACGUG
Molecule: ribosomal RNA, 482 nt
Filed under: uncultured bacterium
Lineage: Bacteria
Description: partial 16S ribosomal RNA
Rfam family: Bacterial small subunit ribosomal RNA
Source: RNAcentral